This 620-nucleotide ribosomal RNA is filed under the name uncultured Curtobacterium sp. RNAcentral's name for it is "bacterial SSU rRNA". It matches the Rfam family "Bacterial small subunit ribosomal RNA", at positions 427 to 1060 of the family's 1533-position model. The record is from RNAcentral. Lineage: Bacteria; Bacillati; Actinomycetota; Actinomycetes; Micrococcales; Microbacteriaceae.
AAACCUCUUUUAGUAGGGAAGAAGCGUAAGUGACGGUACCUGCAGAAAAAGCACCGGCUAACUACGUGCCAGCAGCGGCGGUAAUACGUAGGGUGCAAGCGUUGUCCGGAAUUAUUGGGCGUAAAGAGCUCGUAGGCGGUUUGUCGCGUCUGCUGUGAAAACCGGAGGCUCAACCUCCGGCCUGCAGUGGGUACGGGCAGACUAGAGUGCGGUAGGGGAGAUUGGAAUUCCUGGUGUAGCGGUGGAAUGCGCAGAUAUCAGGAGGAACACCGAUGGCGAAGGCAGAUCUCUGGGCCGUAACUGACGCUGAGGAGCGAAAGCAUGGGGAGCGAACAGGAUUAGAUACCCUGGUAGUCCAUGCCGUAAACGUUGGGCGCUAGAUGUAGGGGCCAUUCCACGGUUUCUGUGUCGCAGCUAACGCAUUAAGCGCCCCGCCUGGGGAGUACGGCCGCAAGGCUAAAACUCAAAGGAAUUGACGAGGGCCCGCACAAGCGGCGGAGCAUGCGGAUUAAUUCGAUGCAACGCGAAGAACCUUACCAAGGCUUGACAUAUACCGGUAACGGCCAGAAAUGGUCGCCCCGCAAGGUCGGUAUACAGGUGGUGCAUGGUUGUCGUCAGCU